AAUGAACGCUGGCGGCAGGCCUAACACAUGCAAGUCGAACGCACCUUUCGGGGUGAGUGGCGGACGGGUGAGUAACGCGUGGGAAUAUGCCCUUUGGUACGGAAUAGUCCUGGGAAACUGGGGGUAAUACCGUAUGUGCCCUUCGGGGAAAGAUUUAUCGCCAAAGGAUUAGCCCGCGUUGGAUUAGGUAGUUGGUGGGGUAAUGGCCUACCAAGCCGACGAUCCAUAGCUGGUUUGAGAGGAUGAUCAGCCACACUGGGACUGAGACACGGCCCAGACUCCUACGGGAGGCAGCAGUGGGGAAUCUUAGACAAUGGGGGAAACCCUGAUCUAGCCAUGCCGCGUGAUCGAUGAAGGCCUUAGGGUUGUAAAGAUCUUUCAGAUGGGAAGAUAAUGACGGUACCAUCAGAAGAAGCCCCGGCUAACUCCGUG
This 432-nucleotide ribosomal RNA is filed under the name uncultured bacterium. RNAcentral's name for it is "bacterial SSU rRNA". It matches the Rfam family "Bacterial small subunit ribosomal RNA", at positions 29 to 507 of the family's 1533-position model. The record is from RNAcentral.